Molecule: non-coding RNA, 170 nt
Filed under: unclassified sequences
Description: malK-I RNA
Rfam family: malK-I RNA
Source: RNAcentral
UUCCAAUCGAGCGUAUUACUCCACAAAAAUAAUACGUUGCGAGGAAAAAGGAGGAAAAAAAUACCGUGGCCUGCGGUGCGGCAGUGUGGAGACCUGUCGUAUAUGCGGAUGGAAUGAUCCGUGAAGUUACAGCAUGCGGAGGCACUGUAACUAAGGCAAGAAAGAUGGCA